This 671-nucleotide ribosomal RNA is filed under the name Streptomyces xiamenensis. RNAcentral's name for it is "bacterial SSU rRNA". It matches the Rfam family "Bacterial small subunit ribosomal RNA", at positions 71 to 758 of the family's 1533-position model. Lineage: Bacteria; Bacillati; Actinomycetota; Actinomycetes; Kitasatosporales; Streptomycetaceae. The record is from RNAcentral.
GAACCGGUUUCGGCCGGGGAUUAGUGGCGAACGGGUGAGUAACACGUGGGCAAUCUGCCCUGCACUCUGGGAUAAGCCCGGGAAACUGGGUCUAAUACCGGAUACUACACAUGAGCGCAUGCUCGUGUGUGGAAAGUUCCGGCGGUGCAGGAUGAGCCCGCGGCCUAUCAGUUUGUUGGUGGGGUAGUGGCCUACCAAGACGACGACGGGUAGCCGGCCUGAGAGGGUGACCGGCCACACUGGGACUGAGACACGGCCCAUACUCCUACGGGAGGCAGCAGUGGGGAAUAUUGCACAAUGGGCGAAAGCCUGAUGCAGCGACGCCGCGUGAGGGAUGACGGCCUUCGGGUUGUAAACCUCUUUCAGCAGGGAAGAAGCGAAAGUGACGGUACCUGCAGAAGAAGCACCGGCUAACUACGUGCCAGCAGCCGCGGUAAUACGUAGGGUGCAAGCGUUGUCCGGAAUUAUUGGGCGUAAAGAGCUCGUAGGCGGCCUGUCGCGUCGAUUGUGAAAGCCCAGGGCUUAACCCUGGGUCUGCGUCGAUACGGGCAGGCUAGAGUUCGGUAGGGGAGAUCGGAAUUCCUGGUGUAGCGGUGAAAUGCGCAGAUAUCAGGAGGAACACCGGUGGCGAAGGCGGAUCUCUGGGCCGAUACUGACGCUGAGGAGCGAAG